UAGUACGGCGAGUGAAGAGGGAAGAGCCCAAGAUUGAAAGCUGGCGUCUUCGGCGUCCGCAUUGUAAUCUCAAGAAGUGUUUUCCGCUUCGGACCAAGCCUAAGUCCCCUGGAAAGGGGCAUCAUAGAGGGUGAUAAUCCCGUACAUGGCUUGGAGCGCCCGAGGCUUUGUGAUACGCUUUCUAAGAGUCGAGUUGUUUGGGAAUGCAGCUCAAAAUGGGUGGUAAAUGCCAUCUAAGGCUAAAUAUUGGGGAGAGACCGAUAGCGAACAAGUACAGUGAUGGAAAGAUGAAAAGAACUUUGAAAAGAGAGUUAAACAGUACGUGAAAUUGCCAAAAGGGAAGGGUAGGAGGUCAGAGAUGCGGCCUGGGAUUCAGCCUUGCUUUUGCUUGGUGUUUUUCCCAGAUUGCAGCCCAACGUCGGUCUUGGGCACUGGAGAAGGGUAGGAGGAACGUGGCACCCCUCGGGGUGUGUUAUAGCCUCCUACUGGAUACAGCGACCGAGACCGAGGACAGCAGCGUACUCGCAAGAGCGGGCCUUCGGGCACCUUUACGCUUAGGGCGUUGGCAUAAUGGCCCUCUACCACCCGUCUUG
RNAcentral lists this ribosomal RNA (593 nucleotides) under uncultured Pseudozyma. Its description in RNAcentral is "eukaryotic LSU rRNA". It matches the Rfam family "Eukaryotic large subunit ribosomal RNA", at positions 81 to 656 of the family's 3401-position model. The record is from RNAcentral. Lineage: Eukaryota; Fungi; Basidiomycota; Ustilaginomycetes; Ustilaginales; Ustilaginaceae.